This 43-nucleotide small RNA is filed under the name Arabidopsis thaliana (thale cress). RNAcentral's name for it is "ATSL109970". Lineage: Eukaryota; Viridiplantae; Streptophyta; Magnoliopsida; Brassicales; Brassicaceae. The record is from RNAcentral.
UGAUGCAUCCACUGUUCUGAGUCACGUCUUUUUACUCGCAUUU